RNAcentral lists this long non-coding RNA (635 nucleotides) under Betta splendens (Siamese fighting fish). RNAcentral's name for it is "lncRNA (ENSBSLG00000002700.1)". Lineage: Eukaryota; Metazoa; Chordata; Actinopteri; Anabantiformes; Osphronemidae. The record is from RNAcentral.
GCCCAGUCACAGCAUGAAGCGGUAACAGACAGUAGAGAAGCUCCUGCGUGUUAGGGAAGGCAUCACUGCGAUCGCUUCUAUUAACAUGGAGCCUUAGGAUGAUAUGAACCUGAUAAGACAUAAUGUAAAAGUGGAAAUUGAUUUUAAAUCCCAAGUUUACAAAUAGAAAUGGUUGUGUCCUUCAACUGACAUUUAAUCCUAAACCGCAGCUAUCGGGUGUUGAUGUCAUCAUAUUUACAGUACUUUGGGACCUUCCCUCCUCAUCAGCGUUGCAUCUUCACCACUAAUUCAUGUCCCACCGGGUUCUGAGGGGCGAGAAGCGGCAGCGAGGCGUCCAAUGCUACCAAAACCAGAUCACGUUGCCCCUAAGUGACGUUUUAUGGUGUUUGAUUGGGUUCGGUCGCCGAUCGCCAGGCAACAGAACUACGGCGGACAGCCAUCUGUCCCGUGGCCCGGUGAGGCCGGAUGCUUCCCGAUCCUGGAAUUCAGAUAUGCUGCAUCAGCAAAACCAUGGACCUGGGACGAGUUCUGAAAGACAACUGCAUGUCAGCCUCGAAGGUUCUGGCAUUAAUAUGUUAAUAUGUUAACACUCUUACUACUAAAAUAUAUCCUGCUGGAAUGAAUAAUAAAUGAGC